GCUGAAUUAGCUUAGUGGUAGAGCAUAGCGUUGUGGCCGCUACGUCACGGGUUCGAUUCCCGUAUUCGGCA
Molecule: transfer RNA, 71 nt
Organism: Ordospora colligata OC4
Lineage: Eukaryota; Fungi; Microsporidia; Ordosporidae
Rfam family: tRNA
About the family: Transfer RNA (tRNA) molecules are approximately 80 nucleotides in length. Their secondary structure includes four short double-helical elements and three loops (D, anti-codon, and T loops). Further hydrogen bonds mediate the characteristic L-shaped molecular structure. tRNAs have two regions of fundamental functional importance: the anti-codon, which is responsible for specific mRNA codon recognition, and the 3' end, to which the tRNAs corresponding amino acid is attached (by aminoacyl-tRNA synthetases). tRNAs cope with the degeneracy of the genetic code in two manners: having more than one tRNA (with a specific anti-codon) for a particular amino acid; and 'wobble' base-pairing, i.e. permitting non-standard base-pairing at the 3rd anti-codon position.
Source: Rfam